Molecule: transfer RNA, 71 nt
Filed under: Loxodonta africana (African savanna elephant)
Lineage: Eukaryota; Metazoa; Chordata; Mammalia; Proboscidea; Elephantidae
Rfam family: tRNA
About the family: Transfer RNA (tRNA) molecules are approximately 80 nucleotides in length.
Source: Rfam by way of RNAcentral
GCAGUGGUGGUUUAGUGGUAAAAGUCUCGCCUUUCACGCAGGCGACCUGGGUUCGAUUCCCAGCUGAUGCG